GUGGGGAAUCUUGCGCAAUGGGCGAAAGCCUGACGCAGCCAUGCCGCGUGAAUGAUGAAGGUCUUAGGAUUGUAAAAUUCUUUCACCGGGGACGAUAAUGACGGUACCCGGAGAAGAAGCUCCGGCUAACUUCGUGCCAGCAGCCGCGGUAAUACGAAGGGGGCUAGCGUUGCUCGGAAUUACUGGGCGUAAAGGGCGCGUAGGCGGACAGCUUAGUCAGAGGUGAAAGCCCAGGGCUCAACCUUGGAAUUGCCUUUGAUACUGGCUGUCUUGAGUUUGGGAGAGGUGAGUGGAACUCCGGGUGUAGAGGUGAAAUUCGUAGAUAUUCGGAAGAACACCAGUGGCGAAGGCGACUCACUGGCCCAAUACUGACGCUGAGGCGCGAAAGCGUGGGGAGCAAACAGGAUUAGAUACCCUAGUAGUCC
This 425-nucleotide ribosomal RNA is filed under the name uncultured bacterium. RNAcentral's name for it is "partial 16S ribosomal RNA". It matches the Rfam family "Bacterial small subunit ribosomal RNA", at positions 354 to 796 of the family's 1533-position model. The record is from RNAcentral.